Molecule: non-coding RNA, 919 nt
Organism: Oryza sativa Japonica Group (Japanese rice)
Lineage: Eukaryota; Viridiplantae; Streptophyta; Magnoliopsida; Poales; Poaceae
Source: RefSeq, a predicted model, not a curated record
GCUAUCUCAAAAGGAAGGCAAAGCAUAGAAGCACAGAACAUUGUUCGAGUGAGUGCAUAUCUAUUCCUUCGUUAGUAUGUACAGCAGGAAAAUUAUGAAAUCUUGGUUCUUCAAACUGAGUUCUUGGAUUACCUCUUGCAACUUUACUUGGCCAAUAUACGCCUCAAGAAUGCAGCAACUGAUGUAGUUAUUACUGUAUAUGAGCCACUGUUGAUAAAAUGGUCUUAUGGAAGCAACACUAUCUCAUGCUCGUUCACCUAAACAGCUUAAGGAACCCUGGUGGCCUACCAAAUUGGCUUGGCAAUGUAGUAGUCUCUGUUGCCAUUGCUAUUGUCAUAUGUUUUACCUGUGUGUAUCUUCUUUCUUACGUUCAUAUAUCAGGUAAACCAUGACACACUAUAUAUAUCAUCAUGCUUUGCUUCCCUUUGCAGUUACAUCAAUUUCUGUGAUCAUGUUUAUUCGAAAUCUCAAAAGUAGGUUCUGCAUCAGAUUGUUACACCUGUCCUGUCCACGAGAUUGCAUCCAUCCAGAAGGGAAUGAAAAGAGCAUCAAGGCAUUUUUGGCAAAUUAUUGAUUUUGUUCUUGAGCGUGGCAUUUACCAAUCCAUUAUAUAUAUAUUGGUUUUAUUACAGUACAAAGAAAUCAAGUUCAUGUUACUCGGUGCAUUGUUCAUACAGAUGUAUAAAAAUGUUGGUGUGAUGUGGCAAUUUGAGCAAUAUUGGACCUUGCUUCUUAUGGCAUUCCAGUUGGCUGAUGAUUGCAGUUACAUGUUGAUGGCAUCCUUAUAUGUGUAGUUAUGUGGCAAAGCUUGUUUAACUGACUAUUGUCUUUGUAACAAACAACCAAUUAUCCUUACUAUUGUUACUAAAAAUGUAUACUCUCUCCCUUUGUGAUGCUAACUGAAUCACAUACUUGAUUA